CCUACGGGCGGCAGCAGUGGGGAAUAUUGGGCAAUGGGCGCAAGCCUGACCCAGCAACGCCGCGUGAAGGAAGAAGGCUUUCGGGUUGUAAACUUCUUUUUUCAGGGACGAAGCAAGUGACGGUACCUGAGGAAUAAGUCACGGCUAACUACGUGCCAGCAGCCGCGGUAAUACGGAGGCGGCAAGCGUUAUCCGGAUUUACUGGGUGUAAAGGGCGUGUAGGCGGGGAGGUAAGUCAGAUGUGAAAACCCCGGGCUCAACCUGUGGCCUGCAGUUGAAACUGUGUUUCUUGAGUACUGGAGAGGCAGACGGAAUUCCUGGUGUAGCGGUGAAAUGCGUAGAUAUUAGGAAGAACACCGGUGGCGAAGGCGGUCUGCUGGACAGCAACUGACGCUGAGGCGCGAAAGCGUGGGGAGCAAACAGGAUUAGAUACCCGAGUAGUC
This 443-nucleotide ribosomal RNA is filed under the name uncultured bacterium. RNAcentral's name for it is "partial 16S ribosomal RNA". It matches the Rfam family "Bacterial small subunit ribosomal RNA", at positions 338 to 795 of the family's 1533-position model. The record is from RNAcentral.